CAGCCAAGGAGAACCCGUGCAGGAAAUUCCA
Molecule: non-coding RNA, 31 nt
Filed under: Homo sapiens (human)
Lineage: Eukaryota; Metazoa; Chordata; Mammalia; Primates; Hominidae
Source: RNAcentral